GCGAGAUAGCGAUAGGUGGGUGUAGGGAACACCUAAAAUUGAUUCAUAUCGUUGUAUGAUGUGAUGAUUUGUAAUACAAUUUGGCAACACCAAAAAAUCAUAAAUUGUGAACUUGUAAAAUUGAAACAGCUGUUUGGAGAAUGAUUUCAAAAAAUCUGAGCA
Long non-coding RNA from Limulus polyphemus (Atlantic horseshoe crab), 162 nucleotides. RefSeq lists it as uncharacterized. The transcript has 2 exons. NCBI's taxonomy places the organism in Eukaryota, Metazoa, Arthropoda, Merostomata, Xiphosura, Limulidae. The record is from RefSeq and is a predicted model, not a curated record.